GAGUUUGAUCGUGGCUCAGGACGAACGCUGGCGGCGCGCCUAACACAUGCAAGUCGAACGGAGUCAAGAGGAGCUUGCUUUUCUUGACUUAGUGGCGAACGGGUGAGUAACGCGUGAGUAACCUGCCCUGGAGUGGGGGACAACAGUUGGAAACGACUGCUAAUACCGCAUAAGCCCACGAUCCGGCAUCGGAUUGAGGGAAAAGGAUUUAUUCGCUUCAGGAUGGACUCGCGUCCAAUUAGCUAGUUGGUGAGGUAACGGCCCACCAAGGCGACGAUUGGUAGCCGGACUGAGAGGUUGAACGGCCACAUUGGGACUGAGACACGGCCCAGACUCCUACGGGAGGCAGCAGUGGGGGAUAUUGCACAAUGGGGGAAACCCUGAUGCAGCGACGCCGCGUGGAGGA
RNAcentral lists this ribosomal RNA (406 nucleotides) under uncultured bacterium. Its description in RNAcentral is "bacterial SSU rRNA". It matches the Rfam family "Bacterial small subunit ribosomal RNA", at positions 9 to 408 of the family's 1533-position model. The record is from RNAcentral.